AGGUAGUCCACACGUAACGAUGAAUGCCAGUCGUCGGCCAGUAUACUGUUCGGUGGCGCAAGCUACGCAUUAACAUUCCGCCUGGGAGUACGGUCGCAAGAUUAAAACUCAAAGAAUUGACGGGGCCGCACAAGCGGUGGAGCAUGUGGUUUAUUCGAAGCAACGGCGCAAGAACCUUACCAGCCUUGACAUACCAUCGCGGUUAGUGGAGACACUUUCCUUCAGUUCGGGCUGGAUUGGAUACAGGUGCUGCAUGGCUGUUGUCAGCUCGUGUCGUCAGAUGUUGGGUUAAGUCCCGCAACGAGCGCAACCCUCACUUUUAGUUGCCAUCAUUAAGUUGGGCACUCUGAAAGAACUGCCAGUGAUAAGCUGGAGGAAGGUGGGGAUGACGUCAAGUCCUCAUGGCCCUUACGUGUUGGGCUACACACGUGCUACAAUGGUAUCUACAACAGGAAGCAAGACUGCGAAGUUAAGCAAAUCCCUAAAAGAUACCUCAGUUCGGAUUGCACUCUGCAACUCGAGUGCAUGAAGCUGGAAUUACUAGUAAUCGUGGAUCAGCGUGCCACGGUGAAUGCGUUCCCGGGUCUUGUACACACCGCCCGUCACACCAUGGGAGUUGGUUCUACCUUAAGGCAAGGUUUCAAACCCUUGACCACGGUAUAGUCAGCGACUGGGGUGAAGUCGUAACAAGGUAAC
Molecule: ribosomal RNA, 696 nt
Filed under: uncultured alpha proteobacterium kpc121rc
Lineage: Bacteria; Pseudomonadati; Pseudomonadota; Alphaproteobacteria
Description: bacterial SSU rRNA
Rfam family: Bacterial small subunit ribosomal RNA
Source: RNAcentral